This 253-nucleotide unclassified non-coding RNA is filed under the name uncultured Sphingomonadaceae bacterium. RNAcentral's name for it is "contains 16S-23S intergenic spacer region". It matches the Rfam family "Bacterial small subunit ribosomal RNA", at positions 524 to 776 of the family's 1533-position model. Lineage: Bacteria; Pseudomonadati; Pseudomonadota; Alphaproteobacteria; Sphingomonadales; Sphingomonadaceae. The record is from RNAcentral.
UACGGAGGGGGCUAGCGUUGUUCGGAAUUACUGGGCGUAAAGCGCGCGUAGGCGGCUUUGUAAGUUAGAGGUGAAAGCCCGGGGCUCAACCCCGGAACUGCCUUUAAGACUGCAUCGCUAGAACGUCGGAGAGGUGAGUGGAAUUCCGAGUGUAGAGGUGAAAUUCGUAGAUAUUCGGAAGAACACCAGUGGCGAAGGCGGCUCACUGGACGACUGUUGACGCUGAGGUGCGAAAGCGUGGGGAGCAAACAGG